RNAcentral lists this long non-coding RNA (10861 nucleotides) under Vitis vinifera (wine grape). RNAcentral describes it as "long non-coding RNA (VVIN_LNC001916)". Lineage: Eukaryota; Viridiplantae; Streptophyta; Magnoliopsida; Vitales; Vitaceae. The record is from RNAcentral.
CUCAAUCAUCAUCUUGAGGGUCAGAGGAGUUUUAUUGGUGUAUAUUUUGAGAGAGGGAGAGGGAGAGGGAGAGAGAGAGAGAGAGAGAGGCAUAUUCAUGCCCUCAAUCAUCAUCUUGAAUUUGAGAUGAGUUUUAUUGGUCUAUGUUGUGAGAAGGGGGGAGGGGGAGAGAGAGGCUUGCUCCCACAAUGUUGAUUCAACACUGUUCAUACUCUCAAUCAUCAUCUUCAACAUAGGGGGAAGAGAGAGAGAGGCUUGCUCCCACGAUGUUGAUUCAGCACUGUUCAUACCUUCAAUCAUCAUCUCGGAUAUCACAUAAAUUCUGAAUUUCCUUAUAUCCUAUGUCUUUUGAGCAAGCAUCACAAUCAGUUAAGUUCAUGGCCCAAACUAGUAUUUGGGUUCAGAGUAGUUGUACAUAAAUUCUGAAUUUCAUGUCCUAUAUCUUCUGAGCAGAUUGCAAUUAGUGGAGUUUAAACAUUUUGUUCUCUCUGCCUCACAGGUUUUAAGCUCUAUUUUUCUCCAAUUUCGACUAGUAUACCUUUGAUGGUUAAAUUCCUUAUUCUCUGUACAUUUUCUUGAGCUUCAAGCAUCUUUCAAUUUUUUUUGUCAUUAUUUACAAUUUUAUGAAGCCAGAGAAAUUGCGUUAUUCUGUCUUUUGAAUUUCGCUCUUUUGAUCCUUGCUGUUCAUAAAAAUAAUUAUCCUUUGUUAAAAAUUUCUAAGUUUCCGGGGGCAUUUAUGUAAGCAGGAUCUUAAUGCUUCUAAUGUGGAGAAGAAUACACCACUUCAUUGGGCUUGCUUAAAUGGGCAUAUUGAGGUAAUAAUUUAUUUUGUCUAAGCAUGAUAGUCACUUACAAAUAUAUAUAUAUAUAUAUAUAUAUAUAUAUAUAUAUAUAUAUUUGGAUUAAGCAUUGCUCUCUUUUUUCAUUUAAUUUUUUUUUUCAGGUGGUUAAAAAUCUGAUUCUUGCUGGAGCAAAUGUAACUGCACUAAAUAGGUGUGCUGUCUAUGAUCUUAUAUGUUGUUUAUUUAUUUUACUUAUAUGGAAAUUAUUGGUAUGAAGACAUGUUUUAUUUCUCAUAUAAAUCAUUGCGGCAUUGGAUGAUAUUCAGCCAUGAGAGGACUCCAAUGGAUGAAGCAGUAAGUAGGGGAAAGAUGGAUGUUAUUGACGCAAUUAAUGCAGCUGUGGCACAAGUUGAACUUACUGGCAUUGGGGUUUCUGAAACUUAAAGAUGUGUAAUGGUUUUUGUAGUUUGUAUCUGUUGGUUAUAGUAUACAAGCUUUUAAGUUGAAAAUUUUGGUGAGCGAAUUCUCGCCGUUCCUUGUGAGCUGUGACAGCUCUUUCUUUCAUGGUUAACUACCCACUUUGAGUAAAUAUACUGUCUUGGUGGAUUUGGGGGUCUCAUCGCUCUAUUGUGUUUACUAAUGGUUUUGACAUGUUGAGAACUAUGAAAGGAGUUUUGGUUGGCUUAGAAGCUUGAGGUCCGCUUUCCAUGUUAUGAACUUUAGGUGUUCCUUAGGAAGUUACUAAGAACCCGUUUGAUAAUGAUUUUACGAAGUGUUUCUAUCAUUUUUAACACUUAAAAUUUUGUAUCAUUUAAACUGUUAGAAAGACUAGAAGCAUUUUCUAGAAUUGCUAUUAAACGUACUCGAAGUCACCUUUUCCUGAUUUUUAACUUGUUAUGUUUAAAAAUGUUACAUGCCUUAGAAGUUAGAAGUUAGAAGUUAGAAAUUAAAAAAAAGAUAAAAAUACAAACCCGAACAUUUAAAGAGUUUGAAAGAAUGAGAUUUUAUUUAGGUUGAGAUUAUUUCAUUCUUAAAAUAUUCAAUAAUUGAAAUUAAGUGGGAACCCAAUGUAAUGAAUAUUACAAAAUUUUACAUUCUUGUUACAUAGUUCAGCAUAUGCUACUAAAAAAAGUUAGAAAAAUUGUAUAUUCAAGGUUGAAGACCAAAGCUUUCCGUAUGGAGGAAGGCAAGAUGUAAACCACCCACUUCAUUCAAUGCUGGUUUGGUGAGUAGGGAUGAUAAUGAAGGUCUCCUCUUUGGGCUAUAUAUUGUUCUUUACUUUUUAGCUUAAGAAAUUUAUAAAGUCAUUUUAGUGAUCCUGGGUGAAAGCUAUGUUGGAUCUUAUGGUUUUAAGGUUGCUUUCACACUACUUAUUCGCUGGGGUGUAGUCAAUGUGAAAGUUUCUACGUUUGGUGGUAAUUGUAAUUUAGAGUCUAUCAUGAAAGCAAAUCCCUUCUUCCAUUUGCUAUUUUAGGCCAAUUACAAUCUAUAUAAAUAAAAUAGUUUGGCUACAAAUCAAUGAAAAAGUUAAAUACAAAGGUUAAUGAUUUAAAUUAAUUUUAAAUUAAAUUAUAUUUAAUUAUUUAAUUCUUAUUUUAAGUAUUAUAGUUGUUGGAUAAAAUUAACUUAAAACCUAUUUAAUGUCAUCAAAUUGACAUAUUUAUUCUAAUAAAUUAUAAUUAGAGUUAAAAAAAAAGUGGAGUAAUAAUAAAGGUGGUAAGAUAGUAAAAGAGAUUUUGAAGGUAAUUAGGAUAAAUAAGGGUAAAAAAGUAAAAUAAAAAUAUAUACUUAAAAAUAAUUUAAUUAUUUUUACUUAAAGUUAUUUUUUACCUUAAUUCAUACCAUUUUAAUUUACUUUAUAAUUUAAAUUAAAUUAUUAAGUUACUACAAAUAUAAAACAAAGUCACGUACUUACAAAUUUCUUCAAACCUUCUCUCCUCCACCGCUAUAUAUAUAUAAUAAAUUUAGUAAAAUCUAAAUCAUUAAAUGAAAGUAUGAAAAAAAAACCAUUUAUAAUAUUAACAAAUGUUUUUUAUUAUUUAUAUUUUUUUUCCAUUUAGAAGAGUAGAAAACAAUUUUCGCUCCAGCUCCCAAGGCUUUGUAAUGGUUUGAACGGUUCCUUUUUAUGCAGCUUCUUGCAAUUGGCCUAUUUUAAGCUUGCAUUGUGUAAAUAAUAAUUAAUUUGGUGUACCAUUUCCAUGUAUAACUUGAUUUUAGAAAGAGUAUAUGAGAUCUUGAUUACAAGGAUUAUUAUCAACUCAAAUCUAUGAUCAAACUCUAAUAUCACUGGUUAAAUUUCAAAUUUCUAUCCUUAUGUUUUGUUCUAGGAAAAUAUUAAAGAAAAAUUAUUAAAAAAUAAUUUUCUCUGAUUUUAUUAUGAAAUAUAUAUAUAUAUAUAUAUAUUAAAAAAUUAUACACAAUCAUAUUCUUUAUGUAACCUCUCGUUAUUCUCAUUAUUUACUUUUGCACCUAUUCUUCACAAUCAUUGGUUUCAAUCUAUCUCACGUUACUCACUCAAAUAUUGUAUCUCCAAUCUCUACCUUGAUUAUACACGAUCAUAUUCGCUAUAUAUCCUCUUAUUAUUUUCAUUAUUUUCUAUUACACCUAUUUUUCGUAAUCAAUGUUUUCAAAAUUGAAUCAAUCAUUAAACUAGAAAAUUUAUUGAUUUAUAGUUCAUUGGUCAAACCGACAAUCGAACUACGGUUGAACCAACGAUUGAACUGGUGACGUCAUAAAUAUAUAUUUUAUAUAUUAUUUAAUUAAAAAAUAAUAAAUAAUAAUAAAUAAAAUAUGGAAAUGAUUCAAUUUUAAAUGCAAUAAAUAAAUCAACCAAAAAUUAUAAAUCAACAAAAAAUUAAAACAAAAAAUAUAAAAAUAUUAAAUAUUAAAGUUCAAAAAUAAAAACUUAAGUUUUAAACUAAUAAAUGGAUUUGAGCCAUAGCUAACAGCUAAUAGCCUCAAAAAAAUGGAUUUGAGCCACAAAAAUUAUUAGUAAUAUUUAAUAAACUCAUAGAUAACAACCACAAAAAAAUGGAUUUGUUGCAAGGAGAGUGGUUGGGUCGGGAGCUGGAGCAAGGAGAGGGGCGGUUGAGGGGCGGGGGGAGGGGAAUUAAAAAGGGUUGAAUCGUUCAGUUUGAAGGGAAUUGAUCGGUUCGUCUGGUUCAUUAGUUUAACCAUUGGUUCACCCAGUCUGAUGUCGGUUCAAUCCUUAGUCGGUUCAACUCACUAGACCGAUCGACGGUUGGAUCGAUUGGACCGGUCAAUUCGGUUCGAUUUUAAAAUAGUAUAAAAAAAAUUAAUUUAUUAACUUUUUUUAUUUUCUCUAUAUUUCCUUUAAAAAUUCAAUAAUUUAAGAGUUGGUGUAUUGAGUAGUAAUUAUGAAGGCAAGACUUGAAUCGCUAAAUCCAUAUUAUUAUGAUGGGAGGCAAAAGAAUACUAAAAGGAGCACUGGGGAGAGGACAAGUGCAUUUAUUUAAGUCGAGAAUGUUACAAAUUGCAGUUGAGGGGAGGCAUAUUUAAGAACAUGUGUACCAUCUUGUUGUUGAGUUGGUAAACAAGAAUAUGGGUCCAUAAUUACCCUCGGGUGAGACUGAAAUCUUUAAGUACAUUUUCAGUCAUGACGUCUCAAGACUGAAACCAUUUUCUCUUGAGCUUUGUCUGGGCCAGGCGUUGGUGGAGCCCUUCUCACACUCCUCUCUCAACAAUCCAAAUUUCUUUUUUUAAAAUAAAGGUUUGAUUGAUUUCCCAUUAAGACUUGCAUUAUCUUCUCUUUAGAGUAAUCCCACCAUAAAUAAAGCUCUCUUUUAAUGACCUCCGUAGAAUUCGUAGAGGUGAUGUGCGAUGAGGAAUUUACUAGUGGUGGCCAUUUGUGACCACCAUAAAAUGUCUACUCAAAUCUUUUCCUCUAUGUAAAUAUGGAACUUAAGAAAGAGUUUCAAGUAAGGCCUAAAUAUAACUCUAUCUGAGCUAGGCUCAUAUCACCACCCCUACCACUUUGGGAUGAUCAUGAGAAAUCCCUUGGUGUACAAGCAAUAGGAAAAUUACCCACUUAGAAUUUCUGAGUAGUAAUAGAACUUCAAUAUCACAUUCCUACUUGAAUUUUAAUGAACAAAAAUGGACAAUUGAAGACCCUAAAGGACUAGAACCAACAAGCUUGAAAAAGAAGAAAACCAAACCAAUAUAUGAUCAUAUCCUUCAAUUAUAGUACUUUAUUGUUGAUGGUGGAAAAAGUUCAAGGUUCUUUUCCAUGGGAGGGGAGGGAGGCUAGCUAUGAGUCUAUGACCUAAAACAAAGCCUCCUCAACAAAAUAUGAAUUGGGGGUAGGGGUCUCAUGAGGUCUCUAGCCUUUUGAAGCCUAGCCGUACAUUGUGAUUCUUCAUUAAAGAAGAGGUUCAUGAUUCCACUCAUACAACGCAAGAAAAGGAACCCAUCUCAUUAUCACUAGCUACCAAACUCACUACAUAAAUUAAUUCAUUGGGGUGGUCUCUAGCUCCUAUAUAUAUAUAUAUAUAUAUAUAUAGAAGAAAUGGGUUUUUUUUUAGGGGGAUGGUAUGGAUGGGUACGAAAAGAAGAAGAGAAAAAGUGUAGGGUGGGCAAUAAAAUUGAGGAAAAAAAUGGUAGAGAAAAAUGAUAUUGGAAUCCAUGUGAUGGUUGAUAAGACCCCAAUACCAGUUUUGAUAAAGAAGAUGAAAUCCCACAGAUUAUGAAGGCACUGAAAGGCGCAGGUUUUCCUUUAACCAUCAAAAUCAUCCUUUACCAAUUAUCCUUUUCAUGGGUCAUCAUCAACAUCUAUCUCACUCAGAAUCCUUUGGGAUUAAACUCCAAGGACCACCCACUCCUUUUUUCUUUUAUCGUUUUGCUGAAUAAGAAUCAACUACCCACAGUCCCAUUGGAAUAUUAUUUUAUCAAAAUUAAAUUCAAAGAAAUGCUGCACUACCCCUAGAAUCCUUCCCUAAAGCCUUCACCUUUACCCAUUCUAUCUCUUAGUGUACUAAAGAUCCAUCCGCAUGCAACCAAAAUUUACUAGGUGUUGGCGUAUGCAUAGAUGCAGUGGAAUUUGAUUCAUGGUGGAGCUUCCACACACAAAGGUGAGAUAUCAUUUGACACAUGGAAAUGUUUUCCCAAAUGAUUCUCAAAAAUCAAUUUUUAAAAACACUUCUCUAAAAUAGAAAACAAUAUAUUUAUACUCAAGAACUUAUCUACUCUUUAGAAUAUGUUUGCUACACAAAUCCUCCAAAACUUCAACAAAUAUACUUUGUAAGUUCAAAUAACUAUUUUCUAUUUCUAUUUCCUUAAAAAUGGAACUGUUUUCAAAAAGCUUUGAGCUAAAAACAAUUUUUAAAAACAAAAUGAAUUAAAAAAACAAUUUUUAAAGAACAAAUAGUUGUUUUCACCUACUUUUAAAAACAAGUUUCUAAAAACAUGACCAAACCACCAAUUCCCAUGGCAAGAUAACAAAACACAUCAAAUGCUAUUCUAAAAUGACAUUUAAGUAAAUGAGAGGAGAUCCGCCCCGUGCAACAAAAAUCAACUCAACUCAGAUGGCAGUCAUCCUGUGUUAUCAAACAUCUCAUAUGUUGCAGCUUGCAAUGCAAAGAUGACGAUAUUCCCAUGGGAAAUCCAUGAACAUCCAAGUUGAAAUACCCUCACAUGCAAUAUCAUGAUGUUCUAAGUAUAGCCCUCCAUUUCAAGAUGCAUACAAAACCAGUGGGUUAUGAAUUAUCAUCAUUCAGCCUCACAAGGCCUACCAUUAACAAGAGAACUGCGAGAGAAGCUUAAACACAAGGAAUGUACACAUCUACUCAUCCAUCAUUCAUUGCUUACAUGUUUACCCAAAACAAUCAGAACACCAGCAAAACCAUGUAUCAAAAUUAGCAUAAUCAUAUUGUUUCUACCUGUAAGAUUAUGAUAUGAAGAUAAAAUCUCAUUUCUUCCAUUAGUAUCAGCACCAAUUAGAUUUUCACUGCAUCAUAUAUCCACAGUAGGCAAAUUCCUACUGGGAUGUGAGACAUGAUCCACAGUAUUACUAAGUAAGCUGGUCAAACAAGCCCUCUAGCAGCUAUGGAACUCUCAGAUUUUCCUCCAGUUUGAUAGUGAUUCCCUAGCAACUUUCCCAGCCUUAUUCCACAACCAAAGCAAGAAAUUUAACACUGAUAUAAUCAUCACAAUGGUGCAUAGUAGUUCAACCAGUACAAAGACAAGAAGAACAACAAAAGGAAAAAAAAGCAUAUCUUAGAAAGGGAGUCAACCAAAUUUUACUUAUAAACAGUGCCUAAAAUUGCAAAGUUUCAAUCUGACCAAGGAUACACAAGUGGGAACACAACUAGGCACAUAAUCUUUGAUUCACUACUUUCAAAUAGCAUCCACAAUCUAAUGGGCUACCUAGGAUGGCUAUAAAUCCAACAAUGUGGCAUAAAAUAUGAUAGGAAAUAUUCCCAGAGAUCAGACAUAAUAUCAGAUAUUAUAGAACCAUGACAAGGAUCAUAGCAAAAAUAUAUGCCCGAAUCGCAUUACAGAAGUGAUUCCAAGAAUUAAUACUGCACAUUACUCAGUGAAAACCUGCAUGCAGAUUAAAAAAAAAAAGGUCUACAAUAUCAUCAUAUAGAGGUCUUUCUUUAAUUUUCAAAAUAACACAAAGAACAUUAUAACUUUUGACAGCAGAAGUCAACAAGCACCUCUAGUUAUGGACAUUAUGCCAUGAUCCUAAAACUGAUCAGUGAACAAACAGAACCGGCUAGCUCCAAACCCACCAUUUUUUAUUUGGUAUAUUGCAUAGAUCACAGUUCUAGUCAAUAAAUCAUUAGAUGCACGAUUGAUCAACAAAGAGAAAUUAGAAUUAUGUAUGGACAUUCUAUAAUGAUCCAUACUAGUUUUAAUUUCAAGGCGCUAUGAUUUCAAGGUGAAGUUCAACAAUUAGCAUGCAGUUCAAAAUGAAGUUCAUGCUACAUACAAUCAUGUGUUGCAGUUCAUACUUAAAUAAGAUUUGCCAUACUCACACCAAAAGGACAUUACAAACAUACACGUGCGUGUGAAACUGAAUCUGAAUAUUACAAAUAAUUUCAGAAACGAUUAACCUAGUUCCAAACUUUAAUAAAAUUUGCAUAGGCAACUAAAAAGGAAGAAAUGAACUAUGAACCUUAGACAUGAGACUUACUAAAGAGAUGUAAAGUUAACAUUGAAAGGGUAGAAAAAAGUGGUAUUCUUAUCUUGUUAGUGGAACCAACAUAGGUUAAUUUGUAGUCCUUUUGGUAGAUUUCAUACUGACGAGAUCUCCUUUUCUUUUCUUAGGCAGUAAGCCUUGCCAACAACUCAAAGUUACCAUUGUAUUUGAUAGAACGCAAUACACAUAUCUAUGUUGGUCACUAACUUCAGCAGUUAGUGAAAUCUCGAGCUUUGGUUGUUUCAGCUAGCUUUUCUACCAAGUAGUCAUGCUGAAAACUAAUAGGGAAGAAUUGGCACUCUUCAAGAUGUUGAUCAGAAAUCUUUAACAUUUAAAAUCUUGGGAAGGAUUGCUAGAAUAGAUCAACAAGGUUGCCUUCUCAAGAAGAGCAUCAAGCAUUCAUUUUCUUCCCUCCAAAAUCAAAGUCAUGCAAACAUAAAAAUAAAUCACUCAUUAACAUAACAAAGCCAACAGUACAGAUGGCAAUGAACUCGGGCAGGGACACGUUAGUAACCAGAUACAAAUAAUUAUUCACUAUGACAUAUUAAGGAUAAACCUCAAGAUGUUGAUCAGUUGGCACAUUUGCAAUCUAGGAAAAUACUUUUUGCUAAACAAAAUCAGUUCAAUCCACUAAAGCACCCCUUCUUUAAUAGUAUAGCGCUUUCAUUUUUCUCAUUAACUCACAUAAAUGCAUAAAUAAAAUCACUGAUUAGCAAACUGAAGAAUAAAAACCAAUAAUAUAAAGGCGGAAAAACUCACCCAGAUUCAUGAUAGCGACCAAAUAUAUAUCAUAGCAUAGCAUUAUCAGAGGUAAACUUUCAAGCAAACAAUAUUUAAAAAAAGAAAAAGAAAAAAAGGGCUCAUGUACUCAUCAUUUCACAGUCAUAACCUCUGGAUGCCAAAUUGAAGUUGAUCAUUACCAAACCCCAAAAAUAGAAAUUGUUUAGCUUCUCUAACACUUUACCAACAUUAGAUUUGACCGAUUAAUGAUGAGAAAGAAAGAUUUACUGUGGUGUAUUACACAAGUAUCAUGAAAUACAGCUUGUUUUUUAGCAAAGUUUUUACCAGCCAACAGUUUUAACAAUUAAUUGAUCUUAAUGAUGCUACAAGGACAGACAAGUGUGUCAGUUCCCGACAGAGAAAUGAGGUCAUUAAUAAAAAAACUUCUAAAAACACCUAAAGUGAAAAAUACUUAUGGAGAGUCUGUAAUAUAAAUGUCCAGCACGGCAAGAAAGGAAACAGUAGGACUGCCCUUAUUUCAUGGGUUAGAAACCCAGUCAUGAAAGCAAAAAGCUAUUAAUUCAUUCCCAGUCUUUACAUCUACCAACCAGUUGACAUUCUUUGGCAACAUGCAUAAAACAAACAACACCUAGUUAGCUAAUCUGAUAUCUGAACCAUAAAUCAUAAAACAUACAUCAGUAAUAGAACCUGAUUAUUUCUGAAAUACUCAGCUAUAACAAAGAGAUCAAGAAAUUAUGGGAUCAGGCAAAGGAUUAGUCAAGCAAGCAUGCAUCAGAUAGAUGAUAUCAAUUUAUUCAACUCACAGUAGUCAACAAUUGCAUGCGGGCUUAGAGCCAAAAAUACAAGAGACAUAUUCCUGCAGCAUUUCAAAGAAUGAUAAAGUAAUAAUAAAAGCCAAAAAAGCACCCCCAAGAUCACAUUGUGAAUAAAGAAAACAUCAAGAUGAUUUAAAAAUAAAUACACAAGAUAUUCCAUACAGUGCAGAGAACUUGGUCACCACCAAAGAAUACCAUACAGGGAACAAAAUUAAGCACACAGCCACUCUCCAGCACAAUGCCAAAGAUGCAUGUUAGCAAAAGACCAGAUCAUUAAAAUCCAGGCACAAGUACAGAAACAGCACACUGGAUAUCGGAAAUGAGGGACAAAAGGUGAACGAUUCAGCAUGAAUGUUUACCAAAACCAAUGAAGGCCUGCUGCAAGGAUUAAGAGAUUGAUGACAUAAAGAGUUAGAUACAAGCUUACUAUUGAAAUGUGAGGGCGGAAACAUUUUCCAUUCUAAGGCACCAGGAAAAGCAAGUACAUCAUGUGUUCAUGAAUGCAUGCAAUUGCAAGGCUGCCCGCAUUGCAAAAACGAUAUAAGCAGCAAAGGGAACUGAAAGGGACACCCAUGUAAUGAUUUUUCUUCUUUAGCAAUAAUGAUGUUGACAUUACAACUACCAUCCAUGCUAAAGUCUAAAGCAGCACGAUAAUGAUGAAUUCCACACUAAUUUCUAGUUUAUAAUGAACCAAACUAACCAAACUAACAAAAGAGGCCGAGAAGUGGAACUGGUGCAACACAGUGUUCAUUUAGACCUAUAAAGACAUGAUUAAUGCAAAGGCAAGUUAGGGAUCACACAACACUUUGUGAAUGGGACGACUUUUAAAGGAAAUACCAUCAAUAAUAGACUCCAACACAGUAGUAAAACAGUGCUUGCAAGCAAGACAAAACUGUAACACCAAAAAGCUAAGGCUCAUACCAAAAUGUCUCCUGAUGAUGAAUAAUACCUGCAACUGUAGAUUUCACCUUUAACAAACAAAACCAUAAUGAACAAAAGAGAACCCAAAAAGAAGGAUUAGAAAGAAAAGAAAAGAAAAGGCAGCAAAUACAAAGUAGCAAACAGUGUUUUAUUAUGUCAAAUUUUUCAGAAGCGACAUACGUUUUAGACAAGAAUUAUUAUAAACAGUAGUAAAAUUUAGCUUCUUCGGCAAAUGAUCAAUGAUCCUCUCUGUGCAAUGAGAAAGGCAAACAGAAACGAUCAGGAACAAGAAUAUCAUGAACCAAAAAGCCGAAGCAAAUAGAGAGAGAGAAGGGAGAGAGAUAUAUAUGUUAACAAGAUACAAGUCUACAAGAACAAUUUACCGAAACCCUAUCAAUAAUUAGUAGAUAGAAGAGGAAUUAGACUACAAUGUCAUUCCACCG